RNAcentral lists this ribosomal RNA (266 nucleotides) under uncultured bacterium. RNAcentral describes it as "partial 16S ribosomal RNA". It matches the Rfam family "Bacterial small subunit ribosomal RNA", at positions 793 to 1055 of the family's 1533-position model. The record is from RNAcentral.
GUCCACGCCGUAAACGGUGGGUACUAGGUGUGGGUUUCCUUCCUUUAGGGAUCCGUGCCGUAGCUAACGCAUUAAGUACCCCGCCUGGGGAGUACGGCCGCAAGGCUAAAAACUCAAAGAAAUUGACGGGGGCCCGCACAAGCGGCGGAGCAUGUGGAUUAAUUCGAUGCAACGCGAAGAACCUUACCUGGGUUUGACAUGCACAGGACGCCGGCAGAGAUGUCGGUUCCCUUGUGGCCUGUGUGCAGGUGGUGCAUGGCUGUCGU